Molecule: long non-coding RNA, 257 nt
Organism: Helicoverpa zea (corn earworm)
Lineage: Eukaryota; Metazoa; Arthropoda; Insecta; Lepidoptera; Noctuidae
Exons: 2
Source: RefSeq, a predicted model, not a curated record
UCACUCAGUCACCACGUGCAACGCCUUCGGCCGCCACACGCUAACUUCAUGUUACGAGAGAGACAAAAUUUACAACGAUUACACGCGGUAACCAUGCUUGGAGAAGGUCAAGCGGUGAGGAGCAUUAUCAGGCAUGGAGGACAGGCAGCCACUACACAUUAAGCACGGGCUCAGCAGAAUCCUCUUGUCUCGUGAAAUGGCUGGGUAGGCGAUGAAGACGCUCAGUGUGCAUAAAAUAAAAUAAUGUACUGAACACA